Molecule: microRNA precursor, 60 nt
Filed under: Panagrellus redivivus
Lineage: Eukaryota; Metazoa; Nematoda; Chromadorea; Rhabditida; Panagrolaimidae
Description: microRNA prd-mir-7886 precursor
Source: miRBase by way of RNAcentral
CGGCGCAUCAUUUUGACUCAUUUUUUGCUUCAUUAAAGUUAGUCAUCAGGAUGCGUCGUU